GGGGCUGAUUCUGGAUUCGACGGGAUUUGCGAAACCCAAGGUGCAUGCCGAGGGGCGGUUGGCCUCGUAAAAAGCCGCAAAAAAUAGUCACAAACGACGAAAACUACGCUUUAGCAGCUUAAUAACCUGCUUAGAGCCCUCUCUCCCUAGCCUCCGCUCUUAGGACGGGGAUCAAGAGAGGUCAAACCCAAAAGAGAUCGCGUGGAAGCCCUGCCUGGGGUUGAAGCGUUAAAACUUAAUCAGGCUAGUUUGUUAGUGGCGUGUCCGUCCGCAGCUGGCAAGCGAAUGUAAAGACUGACUAAGCAUGUAGUACCGAGGAUGUAGGAAUUUCGGACGCGGGUUCAACUCCCGCCAGCUCCACCA
RNAcentral lists this transfer-messenger RNA (363 nucleotides) under Shigella sonnei. It matches the Rfam family "transfer-messenger RNA". Rfam says of the family: Bacterial tmRNA, also known as 10Sa RNA or SsrA, is named for its dual tRNA and mRNA-like properties. Its role is to liberate the mRNA from a stalled ribosome. To accomplish this part of the tmRNA is used as a reading frame that ends in a translation stop signal. Lineage: Bacteria; Pseudomonadati; Pseudomonadota; Gammaproteobacteria; Enterobacterales; Enterobacteriaceae. The record is from RNAcentral.